UACGGGGGGGGGUAAGCGUUGUUCGGAAUUACUGGGCGUAAAGGGCUCGUAGGCGGCCAACUAAGUCGGACGUGAAAUCCCUCAGCUUAACUGGGGAACUGCGUCCGAUACUGGAUGGCUUGGAUUCGGGAGAGGAAUGCGGAAUUCCAGGUGUAGCGGUGAAAUGCGUAGAUAUCUGGAGGAACACCGGUGGCGAAGGCGGCAUUCUGGACCGACAUUGACGCUGAGGAGCGAAAGCCAGGGGAGCAAACGGG
This 254-nucleotide ribosomal RNA is filed under the name uncultured bacterium. RNAcentral describes it as "partial 16S ribosomal RNA". It matches the Rfam family "Bacterial small subunit ribosomal RNA", at positions 524 to 776 of the family's 1533-position model. The record is from RNAcentral.